UUAGGAGUGCUGUUGGCAAAUCCGCAGCACGAUCUGAAGACGUGACGCGUACCGAACAUAAGUAGGGAAGUCCAGGCCCCUGGCUGUCAAGAAAAGCCGCUAUUGUUUUAUAUGUGCCCGUACCGCAAACCGACACAGGUGGAUGAGGAGAGAAUCCUAAGGCCGACGGGAGAAGUAUUGUUAAGGAACUCGGCAAAAUGACUCCGUAACUUCGGGAGAAGGAGUGCCAUGAGAGUGGCCGCAGAGAAAUGGCCCAAGCAACUGUUUAGCAAAAACACAGGUCUAUGCAAAACCGCAAGGUGAAGUAUAUGGGCUGACGCCUGCCCGGUGCUGGAAGGUUAAGGGGAGAGGUUAGCGCAAGCGAAGCUUUGGACUUAAGCCCCAGUAAACGGCGGCCGUAACUAUAACGGUCCUAAGGUAGCGAAAUUCCUUGUCGGGUAAGUUCCGACCCGCACGAAAGGCGUAAUGAUUUGGGCACUGUCUCAACGAUACACCCGGUGAAAUUGAAAUACCAGUGAAGAUGCUGGUUACCUGCGCCAGGACGGAAAGACCCCAUGGAGCUUUACUCCAGUUUGAUACUGGGAUUCGGCAUGGUAUGUACAGGAUAGGUGGGAGACUGAGAAGGUAUGACGUCAGUUGUACCGGAGUCGCUGUUGGGAUACCACCCUUACCAUGUUGGAUUUCUAACCUGUGGCCGUAAGCCGGUCAGGGGACAAUGUCAGGCGGGGAGUUUGACUGGGGCGGUCGCCUCCGAAAGGGUAUCGGAGGCGCUCAAAGGUUCCCUCAGAAUGGUUGGAAACCAUUCGAAGAGUGCAAAGGCAGAAGGGAGCUUGACUGUGACACCGACGGGUGGAGCAGGUACGAAAGUAGGACUUAGUGAUCCGGUGGUAUAAAGUGGGAUUGCCAUCGCUCAACGGAUAAAAGCUACCCUGGGGAUAACAGGCUUAUCACUCCCAAGAGUUCACAUCGACGGAGUGGUUUGGCACCUCGAUGUCGGCUCAUCGCAUCCUGGAGCUGUAGCAGGUUCCAAGGGUUGGGCUGUUCGCCCAUUAAAGCGGUACGCGAGCUGGGUUCAGAACGUCGUGAGACAGUUCGGUCCCUAUCCGGCGCAGGCGGAGGAAAUUUGAUAGGAGCUGUCCUUAGUACGAGAGGACCGGGAUGGACGGACCGCUGGUGUAUCUGUUGUACUGCCAAGUGCAUAGCAGAGUAGCCAAGUCUGGAAGGGAUAAACGCUGAAGGCAUCUAAGCGUGAAGCCCCCCUGAAGAUAAGAUUUCCCAUACCGAAAGGUAGUAAGACCCCUUGAAGACGACGAGGUAGAUAGGGCAGAGGUGGAAGUACGGUAACGUAUGGAGCUGACUGUUACUAAUCGGUCGAGGCUUUAACCAG
This 1387-nucleotide ribosomal RNA is filed under the name metagenome. Its description in RNAcentral is "bacterial LSU rRNA". It matches the Rfam family "Bacterial large subunit ribosomal RNA", at positions 1521 to 2925 of the family's 2925-position model. The record is from RNAcentral.